Long non-coding RNA from Drosophila montana, 558 nucleotides. RefSeq lists it as uncharacterized. Lineage: Eukaryota; Metazoa; Arthropoda; Insecta; Diptera; Drosophilidae. The record is from RefSeq and is a predicted model, not a curated record. The transcript has 2 exons.
GCGUCAUCAGUGAAAUAUAUUUUACCAGCUAAAAAGGCCAAAUGGGAAAUUCGAAAAAGCAAUGAGAUACAAGUUAGCAUCAUUUGGAAUUUGAAACGUGUCAUUGAUGUGUUCCGUCGCUUGAAACAAAACCUUGCAAGUUGCAAGAAACCGGCAAAGGCCCAAGGCGAAGUUUAUGAAGCCAGUCCGUGUAGGACCAGUCCAACCGUAGGAUCACGAUUGCAGAGGUGGAAUGCGUAUAAGGAUGCUGCCACAACGAAUAUCCUAUUUUGUUGCCCAUAGAUUAAUCCUCCAGCCGCUCAUCUAGAUUCUACGUGUGGGUCAAUAGGGGAUGCCUUUGACUUUGCCCCAUUUAGAUGUUUCGUGUUUAGUUAUGCUUUAUGGAGAAGCUGGAUCGGUUGGACCAGGCAAAUAAUGAAGAGCCCCAGAAAAACUGCAUUGUCUCGAACCUCGUCGAACGCAGCGCUCGAUUUGUGACUUUUUUUUGUACCAAUAAAAAAGUUCUAUUAUACCUUCCGAUCCGUUAAAAUAUUAAAUUUUAUAAGUUUAGUUUGAUAA